CGACGAGUGGCGAACGGGUGAGUAAUACUUAGGAAUCUGCCCAGUAGUGGGGGACAACUCGGGGAAACUCGAGCUAAUACCGCAUACGCCCUAAGGGGGAAAGCGGGGGAUCUUCGGACCUCGCGCUAUUGGAUGAGCCUAAGUCGGAUUAGCUUGUAGGUAGGGUAACGGCCUACCUAGGCGACGAUCCGUAGCUGGUCUGAGAGGACGAUCAGCCACACUGGGACUGAGACACGGCCCAG
This 242-nucleotide ribosomal RNA is filed under the name uncultured bacterium. RNAcentral's name for it is "partial 16S ribosomal RNA". It matches the Rfam family "Bacterial small subunit ribosomal RNA", at positions 89 to 334 of the family's 1533-position model. The record is from RNAcentral.